Molecule: ribosomal RNA, 483 nt
Filed under: uncultured bacterium
Lineage: Bacteria
Description: partial 16S ribosomal RNA
Rfam family: Bacterial small subunit ribosomal RNA
Source: RNAcentral
GACGAACGCUGGCGGCGUGCUUAACACAUGCAAGUCGAACGAUGAAGCUGGAGCUUGCUCCGGUGGAUUAGUGGCGAACGGGUGAGUAACACGUGAGCAAUCUGCCCUUGACUCUGGGAUAACGGCGGGAAACUGUAGCUAAUACCGGAUACGAGACCUGAAGGCAUCUUCGGGUCUGGAAAGAAUUUCGGUGAAGGAUGAGCUCGCGGCCGAUCAGCUUGUUGGUGAGGUAAUGGCUCACCAAGGCGACGACGGGUAGCCGGCCUGAGAGGGUGACCGGCCACACUGGGACUGAGACACGGCCCAGACUCCUACGGGAGGCAGCAGUGGGGAAUAUUGCACAAUGGGCGAAAGCCUGAUGCAGCAACGCCGCGUGAGGGAUGAAGGCCUUCGGGUUGUAAACCUCUUUUAGCAGGGAAGAAGCGAAAGUGACGGUACCUGCAGAAAAAGCACCGGCUAACUACGUGCCAGCAGCCGCCGUAA